RNAcentral lists this ribosomal RNA (467 nucleotides) under uncultured bacterium. Its description in RNAcentral is "partial 16S ribosomal RNA". It matches the Rfam family "Bacterial small subunit ribosomal RNA", at positions 28 to 507 of the family's 1533-position model. The record is from RNAcentral.
GACGAACGCUGGCGGCGUGCUUAACACAUGCAAGUCGAACGGAAAGGCCCUGCUUUUGUGGGGUGCUCGAGUGGCGAACGGGUGAGUAACACGUGAGUAACCUGCCCUUGACUUUGGGAUAACUUCAGGAAACUGGGGCUAAUACCGGAUAGGAGCUCCUGCUUCAUGGUGGGGGUUGGAAAGUGUCGGCGGUUGGGGAUGGACUGGCGGGUCAUCAGCUUGUGGGUGGGGUAGGGGAUUGCCAAGGCUUUGGUGGGUGGCCGCACUGGGAGGGUGACCGGCCCCAGGGGACUGAGGGAAGCAGCAGUAGGCUAUCGGGGGCAAUGGACGGGAAUCUGGCGGAACGGGGGCGCGGGAGCGGAGAAGACCGCCGGGGCGGGAAGCUCGGUUGUUGGGGUGGAACAGGUUUCGCCGGUGAUGGAGUGAGCGUGACGGUAACUGGCGAAGAAGCCACGGCUAACUACGUG